Molecule: transfer RNA, 67 nt
Filed under: Liogluta microptera
Lineage: Eukaryota; Metazoa; Arthropoda; Insecta; Coleoptera; Staphylinidae
Description: tRNA-Asp
Source: RNAcentral
AAGAAUUUAGUUAAAAUAUAACAUUAGCUUGUCAGACUAAAAUUAUUAAAAAUUAUAAUAAUUCUUG